UACGUAGGGUGCAAGCGUUGUCCGGAAUUAUUGGGCGUAAAGGGCUCGUAGGCGGCCAACUAAGUCAGACGUGAAAUCCCUCGGCUUAACCGGGGAACUGCGUCUGAUACUGGAUGGCUUGAGUUUGGGAGAGGGAUGCGGAAUUCCAGGUGUAGCGGUGAAAUGCGUAGAUAUCUGGAGGAACACCGGUGGCGAAGGCGGCAUCCUGGACCAACACUGACGCUGAGGAGCGAAGGCCAGGGGAGCAAACGGG
This 253-nucleotide ribosomal RNA is filed under the name uncultured bacterium. RNAcentral describes it as "partial 16S ribosomal RNA". It matches the Rfam family "Bacterial small subunit ribosomal RNA", at positions 524 to 776 of the family's 1533-position model. The record is from RNAcentral.